This is a non-coding RNA of Leptonychotes weddellii (Weddell seal), 1533 nucleotides long. NCBI's taxonomy places the organism in Eukaryota, Metazoa, Chordata, Mammalia, Carnivora, Phocidae. The record is from RefSeq and is a predicted model, not a curated record.
UGCAUCUCCAUCCACAUGGGCCAGGCUGGUGUCCAGAUCAGCAACGCCUGUGGGAGCUCUAUUGCCUAGAACACGGCAUCCAGCCCGAUGGCCAGAUGCCAAGUGACAAGACCAUCGGGGGAGGAGAUGACUCCUUCAACACCUUCUUCAGUGAGACGGGCGCUGGCAAGCAUGUGCCCAGGGCCGUGUUUGUAGACCUGGAACCCACAGUCAUUGAUGAAGUUUGCACCGGCACCUACCGGCAGCUCUUCCACCCUGAGCAGCUCAUCACCGGCAAGGAGGACGCUGCCAACAACUACGCCCGAGGGCACUACACCAUUGGCAAGGAGAUCAUUGACCUUGUCUUGGACUGCAUUCGGAAGCUGGCUGACCAGUGCACAGGUCUUCAGGGCUUCUUGGUUUUCCACAGCUUUGGAGGGGGAACUGGUUCCAGGUUCACCUCCCUGCUGAUAGAACGUCUCUCUGUCAAUUAUGGCAAGAAGUCCAAGCUGGAGUUCUCCAUUUACCCAGCCCCCCAGGUUUCCACAGCUGUAGUUGAGCCCUACAACUCCAUCCUCACUACCCACACCACCCUGGAGCACUCUGAUUGUGCCUUCAUGGUAGACAAUGAGGCCAUCUAUGACAUCUGUCGUAGAAACCUCGAUAUUAAACGCCCAACCUACACUAAUCUUAACCGCCUUAUUAGCCAGAUUGUGUCCUCCAUCACUGCUUUCCUCAGACUUGAUGGAGCCCUGAAUGUUGAUCUGACAGAAUUCCAGACCAACCUGGUGCCCUAUCCCCGCAUCCACUUCCCUCUGGCCACCUAUGCCCCGGUCAUCUCUGCUGAGAAAGCCUACCAUGAACAGCUUUCUGUAGCAGAGAUCACCAACGCAUGCUUUGAGCCAGCCAACCAGAUGGUGAAAUGUGACCCUCAGCAUGGUAAAUACAUGGCUUGCUGCCUGUUGUACCGGGGCGACGUGGUUCCCAAAGAUGUCAAUGCUGCCAUUGCCACUAUCAAGACCAAGCGCAGCAUCCAGUUUGUGGACUGGUGCCCCACUGGCUUCAAAGUGGGCAUUAAUUACCAGCCUCCCACUGUGGUGCCCGGUGGAGACCUGGCCAAAGUACAGCGAGCUGUGUGCAUGCUGAGCAACACCACAGCCAUCGCUGAGGCCUGGGCUCGCCUGGACCACAAGUUUGACCUGAUGUAUGCCAAGUGUGCCUUUGUUCACUGGUAUGUGGGGGAGGGCAUGGAGGAAGGAGAGUUUUCUGAGGCCCGUGAGGACAUGGCUGCCCUUGAGAAGGAUUAUGAGGAGGUUGGUGUGGAUUCUGUUGAAGGAGAGGGUGAAGAAGAAGGAGAGGAAUACUAAUUACCAUUCCUUUCAGCCCUGCAGCAUGUCACACUCAGAACUUUAGCUUCAACAUUACCUGACAGGCGUUAAAGCUUUCUGGUUAGAUUGUCUUCACUUUUAACUGUGAUCAUGUCUUAUCCAUGUGUAUCUGUCGCAUUUUUCCAUUAUGUCUCAAAAGUAAAGGCUUUAAGAAAGAAAAAAAAAA